UACGAAGGGUGCAAGCGUUAAUCGGAAUUACUGGGCUUAAAGGGCGCGUAGGUGGUUUGGUAAGCGAGAUGUGAAAGCCCCGGGCUUAACCUGGGAACGGCAUUUCGAACUGUCAGGCUAGAGUGUGGUAGAGGGUAGUGGAAUUUCCUGUGUAGCGGUGAAAUGCGUAGAUAUAGGAAGGAACACCAGUGGCGAAGGCGGCUACCUGGACCAACACUGACACUGAGGUGCGAAAGCGUGGGGAGCAAACAGG
Molecule: ribosomal RNA, 253 nt
Filed under: uncultured microorganism
Description: partial 16S ribosomal RNA
Rfam family: Bacterial small subunit ribosomal RNA
Source: RNAcentral